This 462-nucleotide ribosomal RNA is filed under the name uncultured bacterium. Its description in RNAcentral is "bacterial SSU rRNA". It matches the Rfam family "Bacterial small subunit ribosomal RNA", at positions 338 to 795 of the family's 1533-position model. The record is from RNAcentral.
CCUANGGGUGGCUGCAGUCGAGAAUCUUCGGCAAUGGGCGCAAGCCUGACCGAGCGACGCCGCGUGCGGGAUGAAGGCCUUCGGGUUGUAAACCGCUGUCGGAGAGGCGGAAAUCUGUAGGGGUUAUCCCCUAUGGUUGACCUAAUCUCGGAGGAAGUCCGGGCUAAGUUCGUGCCAGCAGCCGCGGUAAUACGGACCGGACGAACGUUAUUCGGAAUCACUGGGCUUAAAGAGUACGUAGGCGGCUCAGAAAGUUGGGUGUGAAAUCCCUCGGCUCAACCGAGGAAUUGCGCUCAAAACUAUUGAGCUUGAGGAAGGUAGGGGUAAGCGGAACUGAUGGUGGAGCGGUGCAAUGCGUUGAUAUCAUCAGGAACACCAGUGGCGAAGGCGGCUUACUGGGCCUUGUCUGACGCUGAGGUACGAAAGCUAGGGUAGCGAACGGGAUUAGAUACCCUGNUAGUC